This 793-nucleotide ribosomal RNA is filed under the name Bacillus sp. (in: firmicutes). RNAcentral's name for it is "bacterial SSU rRNA". It matches the Rfam family "Bacterial small subunit ribosomal RNA", at positions 359 to 1162 of the family's 1533-position model. Lineage: Bacteria; Bacillati; Bacillota; Bacilli; Caryophanales; Bacillaceae. The record is from RNAcentral.
GUCUCCGCUCGAUGGACGAGUCUGACGGAGCACGCCGCGUGAGUGAUGAAGGUUUUCGGAUCGUAAAGCUCUGUUGUUAGGGAAGAACAAGUGCCGUUCAAAUAGGGCGGCACCUUGACGGUACCUAACCAGAAAGCCACGGCUAACUACGUGCCAGCAGCCGCGGUAAUACGUAGGUGGCAAGCGUUGUCCGGAAUUAUUGGGCGUAAAGGGCUCGCAGGCGGUUUCUUAAGUCUGAUGUGAAAGCCCCCGGCUCAACCGGGGAGGGUCAUUGGAAACUGGGGAACUUGAGUGCAGAAGAGGAGAGUGGAAUUCCACGUGUAGCGGUGAAAUGCGUAGAGAUGUGGAGGAACACCAGUGGCGAAGGCGACUCUCUGGUCUGUAACUGACGCUGAGGAGCGAAAGCGUGGGGAGCGAACAGGAUUAGAUACCCUGGUAGUCCACGCCGUAAACGAUGAGUGCUAAGUGUUAGGGGGUUUCCGCCCCUUAGUGCUGCAGCUAACGCAUUAAGCACUCCGCCUGGGGAGUACGGUCGCAAGACUGAAACUCAAAGGAAUUGACGGGGGCCCGCACAAGCGGUGGAGCAUGUGGUUUAAUUCGAAGCAACGCGAAGAACCUUACCAGGUCUUUGACAUCCUCUGACAAAUCCUAGAGAUAUGAUUGUCCCCUUCGGGGGCAGAGUGACAGGUGGUGCAUGGUUGUCGACAGCUCGUGUCCUGAGAUGUUGGGUUAAGUCCCACCACCAGCGUCACACUAAAAACAUCAGCAGAACUGGUCGAACAAAAGGGGGAUC